UGGGGAAUAUUGGACAAUGGGCGCAAGCCUGAUCCAGCCAUGCCGCGUGAGUGAUGAAGGCCCUAGGGUUGUAAAGCUCUUUCACCGGUGAAGAUAAUGACGGUAACCGGAGAAGAAGCCCCGGCUAACUUCGUGCCAGCAGCCGCGGUAAUACGAAGGGGGCUAGCGUUGUUCGGAUUUACUGGGCGUAAAGCGCACGUAGGCGGACUUUUAAGUCAGGGGUUAAAUCCCGGGGCUCAACCCCGGAACUGCCUUUGAUACUGGAAGUCUUGAUUAUGGUAGAGGUGAGUGGAAUUCCGAGUGUAGAGGUGAAAUUCGUAGAUAUUCGGAGGAACACCAGUGGCGAAGGCGGCACACUGGACCAUUACUGACGCUGAGGUGCGAAAGCGUGGAGAGCAAACAGG
RNAcentral lists this ribosomal RNA (404 nucleotides) under Actinomycetes bacterium. RNAcentral describes it as "Actinobacteria bacterium partial 16S ribosomal RNA". It matches the Rfam family "Bacterial small subunit ribosomal RNA", at positions 355 to 776 of the family's 1533-position model. Lineage: Bacteria; Bacillati; Actinomycetota; Actinomycetes. The record is from RNAcentral.